RNAcentral lists this transfer RNA (75 nucleotides) under Enterobacter hormaechei. RNAcentral's name for it is "tRNA-Leu". It matches the Rfam family "tRNA". From Rfam's summary of the family: Transfer RNA (tRNA) molecules are approximately 80 nucleotides in length. Their secondary structure includes four short double-helical elements and three loops (D, anti-codon, and T loops). Lineage: Bacteria; Pseudomonadati; Pseudomonadota; Gammaproteobacteria; Enterobacterales; Enterobacteriaceae. The record is from RNAcentral.
UUUCCUGUAGCUAAGCGGUAAAGCUCCCAAAUCAAAAUUGGUUGAUUUCUGGUUCGAAUCCAGACGGGCGACCCA